RNAcentral lists this ribosomal RNA (868 nucleotides) under uncultured bacterium. RNAcentral's name for it is "bacterial SSU rRNA". It matches the Rfam family "Bacterial small subunit ribosomal RNA", at positions 23 to 906 of the family's 1533-position model. The record is from RNAcentral.
CUCAGAACGAACGUGGGCGGUGUGCCUAAUACAUGCAAGUCGAGCGAGAAAACCGGGGCAACUCGGUGAGUACAGCGGCGGAAGGGUGCGUAAUACAUGGAUAACGUACCCCCCAGAUCGGGAUAACCCUCCGAAAGGUGGGCUAAUACCGGGUAAUGGCAGCGGGUGGCAUCAUUUGCUGCUUAAAGACGCAAGUCGCUGGGGGAGCGGUCCAUGGCCUAUCAGCUAGUUGGCGGGGUAACGGCCCACCAAGGCGAUGACGGGUAGCCGGACUGAGAGGUUGAACGGCCACACGGGAACUGAGACACGGUCCCGACAUCUACGGAUGGCAGCAGUAGGGAAUCUUGCACAAUGGGCGAAAGCCUGAUGCAGCGACACCGCGUGGGGGAUGAAGGCCUUCGGGUUGUAAACCCCUUUCAUGAGGGAAGAAUACUGACCUAACCUCAGGAAGAAGCACCGGCUAACUCCGUGCCAGCAGCUGCGGUAAUACGGAGAGUGCAAACGUUGUUCGGAUUCACUGGGCGUAAAGGGCACGUAGGCGGCUCGGCAAAUCGGUCGUGGAAUCUCGACGCUUACCGUCGAAACGGCGGCCGAAAAUACCGGGCUCGAGGGCGUGAGGGGUCACUGGAACUCCUGGUGAAGCGGUGAAAUGCGUAGAUAUCAGGAGGAACGCCGGAGGCGAAAGCGAGUGACUGGCGCGUUCCUGACGCUGAGGUGCGAAAGCUAGGGGAGCAAACAGGAUUAGAUACCCUGGUAGUCCUAGCCGUAAACGAUGGACACUGAGUGAAGGAGGGCUUGCCCUUCUUUGCUGCAGCUAACGCGUUAAGUGUCCCGCCUGGGGAGUACGGCCGCAAGGUUAAACUCAAAU